UCUGUUUAAGUAUGGUUAAUUCAAAGAUGAUAUUAAAACAAGAUAUUACUAGAAAUCAAUACCUUUUACACUACUUUAUAAACAAAAUCAGGGCAAAAUGUUUUCAACAUUGAAACAAUGUAUUUAGCAUUGAAACAAUGGAUUUGGAUUAUCAUAAGUGAAACAUAACUUUGUAACUGUAUAAUAAAAUUAUCUUCACAGAAAUAAAUUGGUAAAUUACAAAAUUUCAGAAUACAAAUGGUGAUAUUAUAUGAUUGUCUUCUUAUCAAGUCAAAUACAAUAAAUACCAAACAUGAUGAGAGGAAUCAGUAUAAUACUUUUCAGGGGAGAUAAUCUGAACCACUUGUUGUGCAGAAAGGAAUAAAAGUUCUUAAGGCACAACUCCUGCAAAUCUUUAAAAUUACAAUUAUUGUAUAAUUUAUCAUAAUUCAAGUUCACAAAGAAGGACAUACAACUUUAAACAAGUAUCUUUAAAAAUACUUCAUACAAAAGAUGUCAGAAUGAAAAUUGAUGGCAGAUCUAUCACUUUUCUUGCUUCUUCAAAUGCAGGCCUUUGGGUUUAUAUUUUUUUCCAAUCCUAAAUACUAUAGACAAUACAAAACAAUA
Molecule: long non-coding RNA, 606 nt
Organism: Mytilus californianus (California mussel)
Lineage: Eukaryota; Metazoa; Mollusca; Bivalvia; Mytilida; Mytilidae
Exons: 2
Source: RefSeq, a predicted model, not a curated record